Molecule: ribosomal RNA, 492 nt
Filed under: Triticum aestivum (bread wheat)
Lineage: Eukaryota; Viridiplantae; Streptophyta; Magnoliopsida; Poales; Poaceae
Description: partial small subunit ribosomal RNA
Source: RNAcentral
AUGGUCUUAUCCGAUACAAUUAAAGGCCGGGUGUGGCUGGGCAACAACACAACAACACAACAAAAGAUUCUGCAUGAACUGCACGCAAGUGCCCUGGGAGGCCACUCAGGAGUGCAUGCAACCUACAAUCGCAUUAUCCGGCUCUUCGCAUGGCCGAAACUGAAACAAACAGUCAAGAAGUUUGUGGCAGGGUGUGCUACGUGCAAACAAGCCAAGCCUGAGCACGUGAAAUAUCCAGGGCUGUUGCAACCACUGCCGGUUCCGGACCAUGCGUGGGAAAUGGUGACUCUGGACUUCGUGGAAGGGCUUCCAACAUCCAAGGGCUACAACUCCAUUCUGGUGGUGGUGGAUAAGCUCACUCGGUAUGCACAUUUUAUCCUGCUGAAGCAUCCGUUUUCUGCUCUGCAAGUUGCAAAGGCAUACAUGGAGAAUGUGUUCAAACUGCAUGGACCACCCGAUAAGAUGGUGUAUGGACAGAAUUGUGCCGGCUGA